RNAcentral lists this ribosomal RNA (588 nucleotides) under Triticum aestivum (bread wheat). Its description in RNAcentral is "partial small subunit ribosomal RNA". The record is from RNAcentral. Lineage: Eukaryota; Viridiplantae; Streptophyta; Magnoliopsida; Poales; Poaceae.
AUGCCUGCUGCAAGCGUGCCGAUCAGGCCUGCCGUUACCGGAGCAGCCGCGCUUCCCGGCGUGGUCGAGUUCGCCCCGUCGGCGGCCGGCGCCGGCGGGCUGCUCGUGUCGGAUCCAGGGGCGCCCGGCGAUGAUCCGCCUCCAGGUGUACCCGGCGACGGAGCUGGACUCGUCGUCGGCGGUGGCGAGUCCGGGGUUGCCCCGGGAGCAGCUGUCGGAGACGACGGGCUGGGCAUCGGUUCGCCGGACGGCGGUGUCAUGGAAGGGGGAGACAUCGGGCUCGGCAUCGGCGCGGCGGAUGGUGGUGUCAUGGAAGGAGGAGCCAUCGGGCUGGGCAUCGGCGCGGCGGACGGCGGUGUCAUGGAAGGCGGCGACAUCGGGCUGGGCAUGGGCGGCGCGGACGACGGUGGCAUGGAGGGAGGAGGGGGCGGCGGCAGGAGGCCCGGCGGGGUGUGGUCGACGGAGAGCACGACGACGAUGAGCUUCUGCUCCGCCUUGCAGCUGGCCUCGUUGCCGCUGAUGAAGAAGAAGGGGCCGGAGCGGUCGAGCGUGAAGACGGUGCUGCCGCCCUGGAACUUGCUCACGUAG